AACGAACGCUGGCGGCAGGCCUAACACAUGCAAGUCGAGCGAGAUCUUCGGGUCUAGCGGCGGACGGGUGAGUAACGCGUGGGAAUAUGCCUCUUGGUACGGAAUAGCCUUGGGAAACUGGGAGUAAUACCGUAUGUGCCCUUUGGGGGAAAGAUUUAUCGCCAAGAGAUUAGCCCGCGUUGGAUUAGGUAGUUGGUGGGGUAAUGGCCUACCAAGCCGACGAUCCAUAGCUGGUUUGAGAGGAUGAUCAGCCACACUGGGACUGAGACACGGCCCAGACUCCUACGGGAGGCAGCAGUGGGGAAUCUUAGACAAGGGGGGCAACCCUGAUCUAGCCAUGCCGCGUGAGUGAUGAAGGCCUUAGGGUUGUAAAGCUCUUUCAGCUGGGAAGAUAAUGACGGUACCAGCAGAAGAAGCCCCGGCUAACUCCGUG
Molecule: ribosomal RNA, 433 nt
Filed under: uncultured bacterium
Lineage: Bacteria
Description: partial 16S ribosomal RNA
Rfam family: Bacterial small subunit ribosomal RNA
Source: RNAcentral